ACUUUAUUAAGACCCCAAACAGCAGAAUAUCCUGUAUAAGACAACUGGGAAUGUCUGGGCAUGUCUACCAUGAAAGCGUCAGUGUUUUACCGUGGAAGAAAAUAUGCUAUGGCGUAUGUUAUGCUGUCUGUACGGGAUUCCAAACAGUUAUAACUGUACUAAAACACCUCUGAAGGACUAUUACUUCUCGCAUUAUAUAUGCAAAGGACACUACUCUCACAUCCAUAAGUUUGAAUAUGGGACGAUUUCACUCGGAUUGCAAAAUUCGGAUAAGCGAGGUGUCAAUGUGUAUUGUUAACUAUACAUGUGUGGACGUAAUUGCCACUAGUCUAAAACCGUGGUACGAUAUGGUUUUUCAAAAUUUAUCCGGCAACAAGCAUUGACAUUUACAACCUGAAACAUUGUACGUGCAAUUCAUUGGUUUGUACAUUAUGUUCCGACACUACCUGUGAAGGUACUGAGGCGGAUGUAGACCCGGCACCUGACUAUGUGAGGUGUUGGAUGAUGAUGCGUCUCUAUGAUAAAUAUCAGCCUGUCAGUAGGUGCAGGAUCAUUUGCAGAGACACGGAGAAAGGUGAGUUGUAUUUCUGCUACCACGAACAUCCGUUAUGCUUAACUUGUUUAAAUCAUUCAUCGUGCAUCAACAUGUCAGUUAUAACCAACGACGAUGUAUAGGUUUUAAAGAUAAAGAAUGAUCAAAUUGGUGUAAUUACUCUCUGUGGAUUAUUCAGGCUCAGUUGGAUUUCGAAAUGAUGGAUAAUAGACAUUGAACAUUAUGAGAUUUUACUGUUGCAUUUAUAAAAUCGCUGGAUGUUAAAGGAAAGCGCAGUUGGUAUAUAAAGUGAAACUAGCUAACAUUAUGAGACCUUACUAUUGCAUUUAUAAAAACGAUGGAUGUUAAC
This is a long non-coding RNA of Haliotis rubra (blacklip abalone), 902 nucleotides long. RefSeq lists it as uncharacterized. The transcript has 3 exons. Lineage: Eukaryota; Metazoa; Mollusca; Gastropoda; Lepetellida; Haliotidae. The record is from RefSeq and is a predicted model, not a curated record.